AACCUGAAAACCUAGUCUCAGUUCGGAUCGGAGUCUGNAACCCGACUCCGUGAAGCUGGAUUCGCUAGUAAUCGCGCAUCAGCCAUGGCGCGGUGAAUACGUUCCCGGGCCUUGUACACACCGCCCGUCAAGCCAUGGGAGCCGGGAGUGCCUGAAGUCCGUGACCGCGAGGAGCGGCCUAGGGUAAGACCGGUGACUGGGGCUAAGUCGUAACAAGGUACC
Molecule: ribosomal RNA, 222 nt
Filed under: uncultured bacterium
Lineage: Bacteria
Description: partial 16S ribosomal RNA
Rfam family: Bacterial small subunit ribosomal RNA
Source: RNAcentral